Long non-coding RNA from Drosophila navojoa, 1256 nucleotides. Lineage: Eukaryota; Metazoa; Arthropoda; Insecta; Diptera; Drosophilidae. The record is from RefSeq and is a predicted model, not a curated record.
ACGACACCACAAUAAAUGUUAUUUGAACAGUAAACUAACUGGGGGCACAUAACACUGAUGUUUUUAUUGUAUGCGCAGCGCACUUGAGUAUUGUUGUCAUUGUUUUUGUUGCCGCACCGUUCUAGUUAUGCAUUCGCUCGCUCGCACUUGUUGGUGCGACUUUUCCCCAAUUGUGUUUGUUUGUUCCGUUCGCAUUCGUUCAUUGAUUUCCUAAUUAAGUUUAUAAUUAAAAUUAAUUGAAAAAUUACCCACAUACAUAUGAAAAGUGUGUUGUAACAUCGAAAAUGAAAUAGUGUCUGUGUGCCUAUUAAAGUCGAAUGAAAGCACGUUAAAAAUUUAAAUACAAAAUUGUGCCAAAAAAUACAUGACUAGCAGCAGAAGCCAAAAAGGUGGUCUCGCUUAAUGUUGCAGUGUGUGGCAACUCUAGGCAAAUGAACUGUUUUACCUGCACACAUACACGCGUAUAUAUCGUCAACACAACGGAUAAUUUAGUGGAAUUUUCGAAAAUAGCAAAGGAAAGGCAACCAUAAUCCUCCAAAGCAGCAGCCGCAGCGGCAGCGCCAAGAGCAACAACAACGCAAGCAGGCAUAAUAAUCAAAGAUUAAAUCAGGUUUAUAUGGAAGGGUUAAAAAGAGCAAAAGCAGCCUGUCACAGGAAGAAAUACACGUUUCCUAGUCGCUGAGGCACGUCUACAACAACUACAACAACAACAAAUCAGCAACAACAACGAACAACUGAUUUUGAUUACAACUACAAGGAGCGCGCGCUACACACACAUAUUCAAUCUUAAGUACGCACACAUAUGUAUGUACAUGAUUUGAGCGCACUGAAAGAGCGAGAGAGAGAGAGAGAGAGAUAGAGAGCGAACAUGUCUUUGAGAUGGUGAGAGAGAACAUGCACAGAUUAACUAGCGCGCUCAGUUUUCCGCUCAGUUCUCAUUCGAGUGCGGUACGGUUACGUCGCAUUGCUCCCACAAGGCAGCGGUGAAAAUACAACAGAAGAUUUUCCGUUGUCCGUUUUCCGCUAGGCGACGGCACAACACAGCGUAUGGGCGGCAUUUGUUUUGAAAGUAAAGUAAGAGGAAAACGAAAUAUAAACCAAAACGUCGCGACCGCACCUCGCUAACUUAUGUUUGUGAUUGUAUACGAACGUGUGUGUAUAUAUGCAUAAAGUAUAUGUUUUGAAACGAAUGUAUCACGAAGAAGGAAGCAUAAUCAAGUGAAAAAUAGUGCAAAAAUAUAAAGCAAUCGAAAAAA